This 401-nucleotide long non-coding RNA is filed under the name Erythranthe guttata (spotted monkey flower). RNAcentral describes it as "long non-coding RNA (EGUT_LNC002197)". The record is from RNAcentral. Lineage: Eukaryota; Viridiplantae; Streptophyta; Magnoliopsida; Lamiales; Phrymaceae.
AAUUUUUUUUUUAAUUUUAUCUGUUGUCAAAAUGUAGUAGACUAUAUUACACUCUAACGUACUAUGAUAUUUUGGUGUAAUAUGAUAUACUGCGGUGUACUAUGGUUUACUACAGCAUAUUUUUUCAAAUCCUAGCAACAAAACAAACUCUUAACCAUCGCUAAACCCUAGGAACCAACAACUUCCAGCCGCCACCAACUUUUAUCCAUCAAAUCCUAGCCGUCAACCAAAACCCUUGCGCCGUCAAAAAGCCCUAGAUUGAUGCAACCGCCUCCCACUGUCGAUCUAAUCUCAUAUCACUAUCUCCAAUGGCCAUCUCCACCAUAACCAUCACCUUUAUAACCACGAUCACCACCGUCAUCGCCAUAGACAUUGACACCUUCGCUACCCUCUUCUACAAU